This 703-nucleotide ribosomal RNA is filed under the name uncultured Geobacter sp. Its description in RNAcentral is "bacterial SSU rRNA". It matches the Rfam family "Bacterial small subunit ribosomal RNA", at positions 411 to 1125 of the family's 1533-position model. Lineage: Bacteria; Pseudomonadati; Thermodesulfobacteriota; Desulfuromonadia; Geobacterales; Geobacteraceae. The record is from RNAcentral.
AAGCCCUUCGGGGUGUAAACCACUGUCAGGGGUAAGAAAGUUCUGAUCUACCCCAGAGGAAGGCACGGCUAACUCUGUGCCAGCAGCCGCGGUAAGACAGAGGUGCCGAGCGUUAGGCGGAAUCACUGGGCUUAAAGCGUGUGUAGGCGGACUUGUAAGUACCUUGUGAAAUCCCACAGCUUAACUGUGGAACUGCUUGGUAUACUGCUUGUCUUGGGCCACUUAGGGGUUACCGGAACAAACGGUGGAGCGGUGAAAUGCGUAGAUAUCGUUUGGAACGCCAAUGGUGAAAACAGGUAACUGGGAGUGUGCCGACGCUGAGACACGAAAGCCAGGGGAGCGAACGGGAUUAGAUACCCCGGUAGUCCUGGCUGUAAACGAUGUCGACUAGAUUGUGGCGGCUCUGACGCCGUCACGGUCGAAGCAAAAGUGCUAAGUCGACCGCCUGGGAAGUACGGUCGCAAGGCUAAAACUCAAAGGAAUUGACGGGGGCUCACACAAGCGGUGGAGCAUGUGGUUCAAUUCGAAGCAACGCGCAGAACCUUACCUGGGCUUGACAUGCCAGGAUUAUCCCUGUGAAAGCAGGGUAGGCCCUUCGGGGUACAACUGGUACAGGUGCUGCAUGGCUGUCGUCAGCUCGUGUCGUGAGAUGUCGGGUUAAGUCCCUUAACGAGCGAAACCUUUGCCCUUAGUUACUAACGGG